AUGGUUCAGAGACUCACGUACCGAAGGAGGCAUAGCUAUGCCACCAAAUCCAACCAGCAUCGAGUUGUUAAGACUCCUGGUGGAAAGUUGGUUUAUCAGACGACUAAGAAGAGGGCGAGUGGACCCAAGUGUCCGGUUACUGGAAAGAGGAUCCAAGGGAUUCCACAUUUGAGACCUACUGAAUACAAGAGGUCCAGAUUGUCUCGCAACCGCCGAACAGUUAACAGAGCAUAUGGUGGUGUUUUAUCUGGAGGAGCUGUUAGGGAAAGGAUUAUUCGUGCUUUCCUUGUUGAAGAGCAAAAAAUUGUGAAGAAAGUUUUGAAGAUACAGAAGACAAAAGAAAAGCAAGCAGCUAAGAAUUAA
Vicia faba (fava bean) is the source of this 363-nucleotide non-coding RNA. The record is from the annotation of a GenBank genome assembly. NCBI's taxonomy places the organism in Eukaryota, Viridiplantae, Streptophyta, Magnoliopsida, Fabales, Fabaceae.